AUUGAACGCUGGCGGCAUGCCUUACACAUGCAAGUCGAACGGCAGCAUGGAGAGCUUGCUCUCUGAUGGCGAGUGGCGAACGGGUGAGUAAAGCAUCGGAACGUACCGUGUAGUGGGGGAUAACGUAGCGAAAGUUACGCUAAUACCGCAUACGCACUGAGGUGGAAAGCAGGGGAUCGUAAGACCUUGCGCUAUACGAGCGGCCGAUGUCAGAUUAGCUAGUUGGUAGGGUAAAGGCCUUCCAAGGCGACGAUCUGUAGCGGGUCUGAGAGGAUGAUCCGCCACACUGGGACUGAGACAUGGCCCAGACUCCUACGGGAGGCAGCAGUGGGGAAUUUUGGACAAUGGGGGCAACCCUGAUCCAGCCAUGCCGCGUGAGUAAAGAAGGCCUUCGGGUUGUAAAGCUCUUUCGGCCGGGAAGAAAUCGCACAGGCUAAUACCCUGUGUGGAUGACGGUACCGGCAUAAGAAGCACCGGCUAACUACGUGCCAGCAGCCGCAGUAA
Molecule: ribosomal RNA, 504 nt
Filed under: uncultured bacterium
Lineage: Bacteria
Description: partial 16S ribosomal RNA
Rfam family: Bacterial small subunit ribosomal RNA
Source: RNAcentral